GCAAAAACUUAAAUUUUUCCAAUAAAAUCUAAAGAAAAUUUUCACCGUACAAAGUAUUUUUUAAAAAAUCAUCAAUCUAGUAAACCGCAAGGGCUAACCUAUAAGCCUUUUCAAGAAAUGAUAACCUCAUGUCCCUUUUGCAUCAUGGAGAAGCAACAAAACCCCAGUGAACCAUACUCCCGAAUGACUAUGAGCUACUAAUCUUUAAAAAUCAAUGUUUCAUAAUUGAUAAAGUAAUUAUUAGUAGGAGUAACAAGCCUUUCAUAUAGUCAUAUAGCUGGCUUUUCUUUAAAAGCAUCAAAGUACUAGCUUAUAGAUUAACCCUAAUUUAUUCACCUAUAAGACUUAGCCUAUUGAGGAUUAGCUCAAUAGGAUUUUAAAAAUACUCUACCAUCUUAACUUCAUAAGUAGGCUUAAAAGCAGCCAUCGAAUAACGUUUUAGUCUCUGAAACAGUAAUAAAUAAAUAUUAACACACAAGCAUUUUAAAAUUAAAGAAACUUGACAACAAAUCCUCUUGUUACUGAACAGGCAUUCUAUUAGUAUUAUACAAAAAUAACUGUUCAAUAUUACUAAAAUGAGUUGAAUCAAAAUAUUUUUCCUUUAAACCACCCAAAGCGAACUCGGCAAAUCAGUUCCCUGCCUGUUUACCAAAAACAUCGUCUUUGAAGUCUCUGAUAAAAGAUAAUGCCUGCCCAGUGAAACUUUAAACGGCCGCGUUAGCGUGAGCGUGCUAAGGUAGCGUAAUAAUUAGCCUUUUAAUUGGAGGCCAGUGAAUGGCAAGACUAGGAACACCUUUACUUUGUGGUGUCAAAAAAACUUUUCGUUUAAGUGAAAAGACUUAGAUAACAAAGGAAGACGAAAAGACCCCGCGGAGCUUUACCUCUUCUCGCGCUUCUGUUUACACACUUAAAAGUGCUUAAGGUUUGAUUGGGGCAAUCUCGGAAUCAUCAAAGCUUCCGAUUCUUUAGAAAUCACAUCUAAAACUUACUAAGGACCAAAAAGAAGCUACCCCGGGGAUAACAGCGUAAUCCAACUCAAGAGUACAUAUCGAAAGUUGGGUUUGCGACCUCGAUGUUGGCUUAAGGAUAUCCACAUUAGUGCAACCGCUAUGACAGGAUAGUCUGUUCGACUAUUAUACCCUUACACGAGCUGAGUUAAGACCGGCGUAAGCUAGGUUGGUUUCUAUCUCCUUUAUCUUAAAUAUCUUCUUGAUUGUACGAAAGGACCCCAAGAGAUGCAUAUCUAAAAAGCAUUUUUAGUAAAUCAAUUUUUAAUUUUUAC
Molecule: ribosomal RNA, 1282 nt
Filed under: Cristaria plicata
Lineage: Eukaryota; Metazoa; Mollusca; Bivalvia; Unionida; Unionidae
Description: 16S ribosomal RNA
Rfam family: Archaeal large subunit ribosomal RNA (bases 579-1282)
Source: RNAcentral